CCCUUAGAUGUUCUGGGCUGCACGCGUGCUACACUGAUUACUUCAACAAGUGUUUUAACUGGAGAGUUUGCGUAAUCCUGAAAUGUUAUCGUGAUGGGAGUAGAGUAUUGUAUUUGUUAAUCUUUAACGAGGAAUUCCUAGUAAGUGUAGGUUUAUAAGUUGUUCUGAUUACGUCCCUGCCCUUUGUACACACCGCCCGUCGCUCCUACCGAUUGAUUGAUCCGGUGAAUUACAUAGAAUUUUGCGUUUUACAUGACGGAAGAUGAAGUGUUUUAAACCUUAUCAUUUAGAGGAAGGAGAAGUCGUAACA
RNAcentral lists this ribosomal RNA (310 nucleotides) under uncultured eukaryote. Its description in RNAcentral is "partial 18S ribosomal RNA". It matches the Rfam family "Eukaryotic small subunit ribosomal RNA", at positions 1470 to 1796 of the family's 1831-position model. The record is from RNAcentral.